UUUCGCACGUAAGUUCUAAAAUAGUCAGACCAGCAGUCUGGCGUGAGUUUUUUUCUGCGACCGUUAUUUUGCAAUCAGUCGCGUUCUAAUUUCCAUGGAGACGCAUGAACCUUGUCAUGUGACAUUUCAGUCAAAAUGGCGCGCACACGAUGGAUAACCGUCUGCAGAACAGCCGCGUGACAAUCCGUGCAUCUCCCCCAGAAACGCCGCGUGACAAUCGGCUUAAUAAUGCUUCAGUGUGUGGUACUCCUCAAAACACGGGACAGCACACAAGGGAGUGUUGCAUGGCACACACAUGUGCUUGGUGAGGCGCCUCUGCUUGCCCUUGCGUGUGCUGGAGAGGCAGACCUUGCAGUGCCGCCUGGUCUUGCUGCCCUGGGAAGUGGUCUGAGGGACUUCAGAUGGGAAAUGCCUGGCUGUAAGGCGCAGAGGAGUGUCCAAGGCAGGACGCCCGCCUUUGGUUGGACCUCGCAAUGUGCUGUACUCCUCCAGCAGCCCUCUCAUCAGUAAUUUGCCGGUAGACGAUGUGGCUGUUGAGUAAAACCGUGUCGAGUACAUGAAAAAAUACUUUCUUGUACCACUUGGUAGACUUUCUGGUGCAUUCAUGAAAACCAGUCAUCAUAUCAGCUUUGUCAACUGCAC
Long non-coding RNA from Carassius auratus (goldfish), 642 nucleotides. RefSeq lists it as uncharacterized. The transcript has 4 exons. Lineage: Eukaryota; Metazoa; Chordata; Actinopteri; Cypriniformes; Cyprinidae. The record is from RefSeq and is a predicted model, not a curated record.